UUUCCAGACUCCUACGGAGGCAGCAGUGGGGAAUAUUGGGCAAUGGGCGCAAGCCUGACCCAGCAACGCCGCGUGAAGGAAGAAGGCUUUCGGGUUGUAAACUUCCUUUCUCAGGGACGAAGAAAGUGACAGUGCCUGAGGAAUAAGCCACGGCUAACUACGUGCCAGCAGCCGCGGUAAUACGUAGGUGGCAAGCGUUGUCCGGAUUUACUGGGUGUAAAGGGCGUGUAGCCGGGUUGACAAGUCAGAUGUGAAAUCCUGCGGCUUAACCGCAGAACUGCAUUUGAAACUGUUGAUCUUGAGUACUGGAGAGGCAGACGGAAUUCCUAGUGUAGCGGUGAAAUGCGUAGAUAUUAGGAGGAACACCAGUGGCGAAGGCGGUCUGCUGGACAGCAACUGACGGUGAGGCGCGAAAGCGUGGGGAGCAAACAGGAUUAGAUACCCGAGUAU
This 450-nucleotide ribosomal RNA is filed under the name uncultured bacterium. Its description in RNAcentral is "bacterial SSU rRNA". It matches the Rfam family "Bacterial small subunit ribosomal RNA", at positions 328 to 793 of the family's 1533-position model. The record is from RNAcentral.